UCGUUACGGACAAAAUAGAACGAUGCUGUUUCAAGUUCUUCCUACUUUCCCUUAUGAUUUCCCUGUUUCAGAGAGAGAGAGAAUGAAGCAGAUAUCGAAAGAUCCGUUCGAGGCGGCGUUUGAGGAGGAAGAGGAUGAUUCCGCCGCAGUAGCUGUCGAUGCACAACAACAAGACCCCGACGAAGACGAAGACUACGAUGGUCUAGGUAUGGGUACGGGUACGGGUACGGGUAUUCAUUCCUCUGCCGCUGACCCUUCCGUUUCUGCUUCCACGUCCGCACCAGCAUCGACCGCUACGACAGCAGCAGUCUCUGCCGCUAAAUCCAAUGCAAAGAACAAAUACGACGAUCAGGAGGAAGAGGAGGAGGACAACAUGGAUGUUGAGCUCUCCAAGUUACCUCCCACUGCCGACCCUGUUAAAAUGGCCAAGAUGCAGGCUAUUUUGUCACAAUUCACUGAGCAACAGAUGAGUAGGUACGAGUCCUUUAGGAGAGCUGGAUUUCAGAAAUCUAACAUGAAAAGGUUGCUAGCAAGCAUCACAGGAACCCCGAAAAUUUCUGUGCCAAUGACAAUUGUAGUGUCUGGGAUAGCAAAAAUGUUUGUUGGAGAACUUGUCGAAACAGCUAGAAUGGUUAUGGCAGAGAGGAAAGAAUCUGGGCCGAUCAGGCCUUGCCAUAUCAGAGAAGCAUAUAGAAGAUUAAAACUUGAAGGCAAAGUACCAAAGAGAUCAGUUCCAAGGCUCUUUCGGUAGAUUGGGCAGAGACGUUUUUAUGGCUGAUUGCACAGGUUUCAAGAUCAGCCUUGUUUUGAAGCAUGCACGUCAAUGGCGUUCGGGAACAUCUCUCCCAAAAUGCAGAACAUGCACAGGUCAUAUCAACAGUCUAAUUUACUUGUGCUUCAAUAUUGUAUAAUAACUAUUCAUGAGUCUAGACAAUUUUCCCUAUUUUUUUUCUCCACUUGGAAGUCAUGACGCUAGAUAAGUUUAUACUACUCUAUAUUCCCCACGGAUGCCCCAUGAUGCCAGUGGAUGUUAUUGUGCCAUGUUUUUUUUCUAUUAUUAUUCUAAGUAGAG
Juglans microcarpa x Juglans regia is the source of this 1072-nucleotide RNA transcript. It is a transcript of the gene named transcription initiation factor TFIID subunit 11, with no coding region annotated. Lineage: Eukaryota; Viridiplantae; Streptophyta; Magnoliopsida; Fagales; Juglandaceae. The record is from RefSeq and is a predicted model, not a curated record. The transcript has 5 exons.